This 505-nucleotide ribosomal RNA is filed under the name uncultured bacterium. RNAcentral's name for it is "partial 16S ribosomal RNA". It matches the Rfam family "Bacterial small subunit ribosomal RNA", at positions 28 to 507 of the family's 1533-position model. The record is from RNAcentral.
GACGAACGCUGGCGGCGUGCCUAAUACAUGCAAGUAGAACGCACAGUUUAUGCCGUAGCUUGCUACACCAUAGACUGUGAGUUGCGAACGGGUGAGUAACGCGUAGGUAACCUGCCUGGUAGCGGGGGAUAACUAUUGGAAACGAUAGCUAAUACCGCAUAAUAUUAAUUAUUGCAUGAUAAUUAAUUGAAAGGUGCAAUUGCACCACUACCAGAUGGACCUGCGUUGUAUUAGCUAGUGGGUGAGGUAACGGCUCACCUAGGCGACGAUACAUAGCCGACCUGAGAGGGUGAUCGGCCACACUGGGACUGAGACACGGCCCAGACUCCUACGGGAGGCAGCAGUAGGGAAUCUUCGGCAAUGGACGAAAGUCUGACCGAGCAACGCCGCGUGAGUGAAGAAGGUUUUCGGAUCGUAAAGCUCUGUUGUAAGAGAAGAACGGGUGUGAGAGUGGAAAGUUCACACUGUGACGGUAUCUUACCAGAAAGGGACGGCUAACUACGUG